GCCUGUUGUCAGCAGAAGUUUCACCAUCUCAGGAUCCUUGUUGGUGCUUCUCAUCAUAUUCAUAGUUCUGGGCUUCACCCACUUCCUUGUGGUCCUGAUCCGUGCCCUGUUCAGACAUUACUCUACCAGGGCAAAUCGGUCUAUAUAACUGUCCGCCUCGGACCUGGAGGAUAAAACCGGACAGGCAAGGAGACCCUGUGGGACCAUCAGAGAGGCUGCAAAGAUGCCCCAUUGCAGCAUCGCCAGUGACAGAGAGAUGGAACCACAGCGCAUGUCGGGUGAAUGUCAUGGUUAGAAACUUUGCUGGGCAACGAUACUCACUAGCGUGCCAAAUGUUCACAACUUGAUGCCUAGUUAGAAACGCACAAUACAGACCUGCGUCUGAUAGGACCAUGUUGUGAAAAGUAUAGAUUAGUUAAUUGAUGUAGGUACAAUAUUACAGUAUGUGUACACACACACACAUAUGCUAUAUAUAUCCAGUGAGAUGGUUGGAUGGCAUCGUGGACUCAAUGGACA
Molecule: long non-coding RNA, 516 nt
Organism: Cervus elaphus (red deer)
Lineage: Eukaryota; Metazoa; Chordata; Mammalia; Artiodactyla; Cervidae
Exons: 3
Source: RefSeq, a predicted model, not a curated record